UGGGGAAUAUUGGGCAAUGGGGGAAACCCUGACCCAGCGACGCCGCGUGCGGGAAGACGGUCUUCGGAUUGUAAACCGCUUUCAGCAGGGAAGAAGCAAGUGACGGUACCUGCAGAAGAAGUCACGGCUAACUACGUGCCAGCAGCCGCGGUAAUACGUAGGUGGCGAGCGUUAUCCGGAAUUACUGGGUGUAAAGGGUGUGUAGGCGGGGAAGCAAGUCAGGCGUGAAAUUCAUGGGCUCAACCCAUGGGCUGCGCUUGAAACUGUUUUUCUGAGAGUGGGAGAGGUAAACGGAUUCCUGGUGUAGUAGUGAAAUGCGUAGAUAUCAGGAGGAACACCGGUGGCGAAGGCGGUUUACUGGACCAUUACUGACGCU
Molecule: ribosomal RNA, 376 nt
Filed under: uncultured bacterium
Lineage: Bacteria
Description: bacterial SSU rRNA
Rfam family: Bacterial small subunit ribosomal RNA
Source: RNAcentral